CCUAAGUGGGUGGUAAACUCCAUCUAAGGCUAAAUAUGACCACGAGACCGAUAGCACACAAGUACCGUGAGGGAAAGGUGAAAAGAACUUUGAAGAGAGAGUUCAAGAGUACGUGAAACUGCGGUGGUGUAAACGGACGAGAUCGAAAAGUCCGAAUGGGGACAUUCAUGCCUACCGUUCUGGCGGCCUUUUGGGUUCAGAUGGUGCGGACGGCUCGGGCCUCUCGGGGCGCCGGGUUUUUUUCGCUAUCACUCGUCCCAGUUGGCAUCUGCUGGGGCGGUGGGCUGCAUUUGUCCCCUAGUAGGACGUCGCGACCCGUUGGGAUGGUCCGAUCUGAAGGCCUGGGGUGGAGCCCGCGCCCGAGCGUCGCUUCGGUGGCGUUGCGGUGCACGGACCCCCGGUGACCUGGUCGGCGCUCGACGGUAUCAAAGCAUUGGGAAGGCACCGUACAGAGGUUACGUCCGAUGCCUGUAGCAGGCUACACUCGGACAGGUGCGCACCCGGUCAGCGGCGCUACUGCUUUCGAUACUCGUCCGA
This 537-nucleotide ribosomal RNA is filed under the name Neohydatothrips geminus. RNAcentral describes it as "eukaryotic LSU rRNA". It matches the Rfam family "Eukaryotic large subunit ribosomal RNA", at positions 287 to 647 of the family's 3401-position model. The record is from RNAcentral. Lineage: Eukaryota; Metazoa; Arthropoda; Insecta; Thysanoptera; Thripidae.